UAAUGUCACCUUUGACUUUUCCCAACUUAAAUUGCAUCUAUUUUCAUAUUCUAGAAAAAAGAAAAUAGCAUUUGAAAAAGGAAAAGAUGAUCAAGCACUUUCAAAGACAAAAAAUACAAUGCAUCUAUAAAGGCAAAUGCGGCAUUGAGUGACUAAAUCUGAUGAACAGGGAAGACUUCUGACAGACACUGAAUUGGGAGAAGGAGCCUUCCUGCUCCGAGACCAGUGACAUGUACUUGGAAAUGAUGAGACAAGGUCUCCCUAUGUUGCUCAGGGUGGUCUCGAAC
Long non-coding RNA from Homo sapiens (human), 287 nucleotides. RefSeq lists it as uncharacterized. Lineage: Eukaryota; Metazoa; Chordata; Mammalia; Primates; Hominidae. The record is from RefSeq and is a predicted model, not a curated record. The transcript has 3 exons.